GUUGAUUCAGACUAGCCAUGCACGUCUAAGUACAAACUAAAUGAUGGUGAAACUGCAAAUGGCUCAUUACAACGGUUAUGAUGUACCCGGGAGUUCCGAUGGAUAUUUCCAGUAACACUAGAACUAAUACAUGUCCCUGCGUUUAUUAGUUUCGCACAAUCCGUCGCUGAGUCAUGGUAAACAGUUGAUCGACUCGACGUCCCGGAACAGUUUCCGCCCCAUCAGCUUCGAUGGUUGGGUAUUGGCCUACCAUUGCAACAACGGGUAACGAGGAAUUAGGGUUUGAUUUCGGAGAGGGAGCCUGAGAAACGGCUACCACAUCUACGGAUGGCAGCAGGCGCGCAAAUUACCCAAUGCAGACACUGUGAGGUAGUGACGAGAAAUAAUAAAGCGGGACUUCUGUUUCGCUAUUAUAAUGAGGAAUAACCAAAGGUCAUUCCGAUUAGCAACUGAUGGGAAAGUCUGGUGCCAGCAGCCGCGGUAAUACCAGCGUCAGUAGC
Molecule: ribosomal RNA, 500 nt
Filed under: uncultured Myrionecta
Lineage: Eukaryota; Ciliophora; Litostomatea; Cyclotrichida; Mesodiniidae
Description: SSU rRNA
Rfam family: Eukaryotic small subunit ribosomal RNA
Source: RNAcentral